RNAcentral lists this ribosomal RNA (514 nucleotides) under uncultured bacterium. RNAcentral's name for it is "partial 16S ribosomal RNA". It matches the Rfam family "Bacterial small subunit ribosomal RNA", at positions 28 to 523 of the family's 1533-position model. The record is from RNAcentral.
GAUGAACGCUGGCGGCGUGCCUAAUACAUGCAAGUCGAGCGAACUGAUUAGAAGCUUGCUUCUAUGACGUUAGCGGCGGACGGGUGAGUAACACGUGGGCAACCUGCCUGUAAGACUAGGAUGACUUCGGGAAACCGAAGCUAAUACCGGAUAGGAUCUUCUCCUUCAUGGGAGAUGAUUGAAAGAUGGUUUCGGCUAUCACUUACAGAUGGGACCGCGGUGCAUUGGCUAGUUGGUGAGGUAACGGCUCACCAAGGCAACGAUGCAUAGCCGACCUGAGAGGGUGAUCGGCCACACUGGGACUGAGACACGGCCCAGACUCCUACGGGAGGCAGCAGUAGGGAAUCUUCCGCAAUGGACGAAAGUCUGACGGAGCAACGCCGCGUGAGUGAUGAAGGCUUUCGGGUCGUAAAACUCUGUUGUUAGGGAAGAACAAGUACAAGAGUAACUGCUUGUACCUUGACGGUACCUAACCAGAAAGCCAUGGCUAACUACGUGCCAGCCGCCGCGGUAA